This 444-nucleotide ribosomal RNA is filed under the name uncultured beta proteobacterium. Its description in RNAcentral is "bacterial SSU rRNA". It matches the Rfam family "Bacterial small subunit ribosomal RNA", at positions 969 to 1416 of the family's 1533-position model. The record is from RNAcentral. Lineage: Bacteria; Pseudomonadati; Pseudomonadota; Betaproteobacteria.
CCUUACCUACCCUUGACAUGUCAGGAAUCCUGUAGAGAUAUGGGAUUGCUCGAAAGAGAAUCUGAACACAGGUGCUGCAUGGCCGUCGUCAGCUCGUGUCGUGAGAUGUUGGGUUAAGUCCCGCAACGAGCGCAACCCUUAUCAUUAGUUGCUACGCAAGGGCACUCUAAUGAGACUGCCGGUGACAAAACCGGAGGAAGGUGGGGAUGACGUCAGGUCAUCAUGGCCCUUAUGGGUAGGGCUACACACGUCAUACAAUGGCCGGUACAGAGGGCUGCCAACUCGCGAGAGGGAGCUAAUCUCAGAAAACCGGUCGUAGUCCGGAUCGCAGUCUGCAACUCGACUGCGUGAAGUCGGAAUCGCUAGUAAUCGCGGAUCAGCUUGCCGCGGUGAAUACGUUCCCGGGUCUUGUACACACCGCCCGUCACACCAUGGGAGCGGGUU